GUGUCAGCAGCCGCGGUAAUACGAAGGGGGCUAGCGUUGCUCGGAAUUACUGGGCGUAAAGGGAGCGUAGGCGGAUAGUUUAGUCAGAGGUGAAAGCCCAGGGCUCAACCUUGGAAUUGCCUUUGAUACUGGCUAUCUUGAGUAUGGAAGAGGUAUGUGGAACUCCGAGUGUAGAGGUGAAAUUCGUAGAUAUUCGGAAGAACACCAGUGGCGAAGGCGACAUACUGGUCCAUUACUGACGCUGAGGCUCGAAAGCGUGGGGAGCAAACAGGAUUAGAUACCCUGGUAGUCC
RNAcentral lists this ribosomal RNA (292 nucleotides) under uncultured bacterium. RNAcentral describes it as "partial 16S ribosomal RNA". It matches the Rfam family "Bacterial small subunit ribosomal RNA", at positions 505 to 796 of the family's 1533-position model. The record is from RNAcentral.